CGCCACACCCUGCUCUUCCACGCUCGCAACCUCGCACCCUCUCGCUCCCGCCCCUUCCUCUCCUCUCCGCCGCCGCCUCCCUCGCACCGGUGGUCCACAGCCCCAACUCGACCGGCGCGCUGCUGCACCGCGCGGGAUCCGGUGAGUUCUCCGUUGAGGUAAUCUCUCUUAGAUUGAAGCCUGCCGGGGUUGCUCGUCGCCCAGCAUCUCCUCCAUCUAGGUUUGCCGCAAACAACCUCGUCCAAGGUCGAGCCAACCGCACCAGUGCUUGACGAACAUGCAUCGGGAGCUCGACUACAGGUAGCCGGCCAGCCGUGCCCCUUUCCUCUCUCUUCCCCUGCAAACCGGUCCUUGAUUGGGAGGAAAUGGACAUGCGAGGAGGCAACGAGGACUUGCAGAUCAAGUCCCCGGGACUUCAGUUUGAUGUCUCAGAUAAGGCAAAUGCGGCAGGGAAUAACUGAAACAUGCUUCCUGAGGCCUAGGCCCUCCUCAUAGUUGUUCAGGUACUGGUGGUGGCCAAAUGGAUUGAUCAGGUCACGCAAGAUCUUACCAAUGGCUUGAGCAGGGUCUGAAUCGAUGGAGAACAUAUAUCUUUACUUGUUAAACGACCAGAAUAUGGAAAAUAUGUGUGAAUAGGAAGCAAUCUCUGGUACGGUGCUAUAUCCCGGCGAGAGAGAAACAACCAUCGUAGAUGGAUGUAUCUGUCUACUGUAUCUGAGUGCUAGGAUUCUCAAUUGGGCAACAAGUUACCAAGCUACUAUAUCUAUACAUGUAAGAGUGGGCCAAUUCUCUGCAAAAUGAUCUACCGCCCAUGUAGUUUACUUCUUGUAUUUGUUUGUGUAUAGUAAGGACAGGCUCAGUGAGUUUUCUUCCAUACACUGUUUUUUCAGAUGUAUGAGAUGAACGAAAUUUUAUACUAUUGCGGCAGCGCUAGGUAAACAGUGCCAUUGAUGGAGUAAAUCGUGCUUAUGCUCUUAAAUUAUCUCUACAGAUGGAUACUGGAUCGAGUGUACCCGGUGUACUGAAGUACGGCAGUGAGAAGCAAUCCCUCCGAUAUCUGCCUUUGGACUAGCUAUUCUAUUUGAACCAACAGGGUAUUGCAAGUAUUUCUAGCGUCUAUUACAGCCUUAUUAGCUAUUAGGUAAUAACUAACUUAUCUCUGCCGUCAGUUUAAGAAAACCCAUAUGGGAGAAGUUUUUUUUGCUGUGAAAACCCAUCUGUUAUACUUAGCUGUGACGGGAGGGCAUAGCUGUUUUUAGGUCUAAAUCAAUGAUGGUGUUAUGGUGUUAUGAUUAUUCAUUUGCAGCUGCAUCAUUUAUUUCUGGAGCAAUGGAAACUUUAUAUAGAUGCAAGGUUCUUACACUUGUGUUUUCUCACAUGUAGUCUUGGCAUGAAUUUUUAUGAAAACCAUUUCUCUUGCAGAAUAGAUUGGCAUGAAGCAGUCUGCCCUUAUCUGGUCUUUUUUCUUUCUUUUGCUGCAAAUUUAUAUAGAUAUUUCUGUUACAAGUUUUCUUUUACACCAUGUAAAACAUUCAUUAAGGGACUACCAUGAGAAACUCUGCUCUUGUGGCCGUGAAGGUAUCGAGCAUGUUUAUAGGAACUAUCGAUAUUUUUGCUCAUGGAUUUUCUUUUACACCAUCUGUCUUAUUUAUUGGCGUUUAGUGUUUACCUUUUAUGACAUUGUAAAUUGAGUACAUGGUUUUUCCUUUGGCAGUUUGGCAGAACAUGUAGAUUCAGAACAUGCUUUUUCCUUUAUCCUUUUAUGCUAAAAAAAUAUGAGGAGAUGGGUAUGCUGUGAUAUCAGCAGCUACCAAGGCCUAUGAAGCUAUAGCCUAAAAAGAGAACAUUGUAUGUCUGGCUUUGUCUCAUGAUAAACGUAAAAUUGUUCUUUCUCCAUGCUUAUGUGAAUCGAUUUAUUUUACUUUUCGAUAAUGUAAAUGUAAUGUAUUACAUGGCCAUCAACUGGAUGCCAUAUUUAGUCAUUAAUUAUGUUUCUAUCAUACUUAGUGUACUUUGGCAUCCCAGAUAUCUUGAUAUUUGUCUUAAUAUUGGACUCUUUCAUGAACAAAUAUUAGGAGAGAAUAAGACUGGAGGUGUGGCAGGAGGUGCUCUAGGCGAUCAAAGUGGGAGUUUUUUCUUUUACAAAAUUAUUCUCGUAUCACCUGGAGAGUGCUCUCUGGUUGCAAGAUGUAAAAUUGACACAUUCUUUUGCAAUACGAUCUGGCUGUCUUGCGCUCC
This is a long non-coding RNA of Lolium perenne, 2238 nucleotides long. RefSeq lists it as uncharacterized. The record is from RefSeq and is a predicted model, not a curated record. NCBI's taxonomy places the organism in Eukaryota, Viridiplantae, Streptophyta, Magnoliopsida, Poales, Poaceae.